UUUAAGUGCAACCAUAAGUUUCCACGCCCAACUUUAAUCGUUUAUCCUAUUUGAAAAUUUUGUAUAAUUAGUAUUUUUGUUGUUAGGGUAUGAUAAAAAAAUGAAUAAUACUUAUGUUUUUAAUUUUUUUUAAUUUUUUUCAAAUAAGACGAAAUAGUUAAUGUUGGGCGCGAAAAACCAUGGCUGCACUUAAA
This is a microRNA precursor of Oryza sativa Indica Group (long-grained rice), 194 nucleotides long. It matches the Rfam family "MIR812 microRNA precursor family". NCBI's taxonomy places the organism in Eukaryota, Viridiplantae, Streptophyta, Magnoliopsida, Poales, Poaceae. The record is from Rfam.